Zonotrichia albicollis (white-throated sparrow) is the source of this 3348-nucleotide long non-coding RNA. RefSeq lists it as uncharacterized. The record is from RefSeq and is a predicted model, not a curated record. Lineage: Eukaryota; Metazoa; Chordata; Aves; Passeriformes; Passerellidae.
AUCCCAGGAUGGAGGAGUUGUGGUGGUUCUUUUGGAAAAGGCUCCCACCUGCAGGGUCCUGGGAGGAUGUAGGUGGAAUACAGUGGUUUUGUGGUGCCCAGUGCCACAGGGGCUGAGUGAGUCCAAAAUGCUCGAGAGACUGCUCACCUGGGUAAUGUCUUGGGACAGGGGCCAGGAGCACUAGGUCCCCCCAGCAGGAGAAGGCUUGCAGGAGUCGUGCCAGCUGAAGGUGCCUGUGAAGAUCUUGGAGAUGUUUUCCUGAGGAGUCAGCCUUGUGCCAGGGUCUGCCCACUGGGAGCUGGAGAGUCCCACCUGCCUCAAUGUUCAGGAGAUGAUCCCAGCUCUGCCUGGAGGCCUGAUCUGGGCUCUGUGGGGGCUGACACCACAGGGCAGAAGGUGAAGAGCCCGCAGUCAUGGUGUGCCUUCAGGCGGGAGCAGUGCUGGGGCCCUCACCCAGAGCUGUCACAGGUCACAUGUUCAGCUGUGACCAGCAGGGCAGAAGUGCCAGUGCCACCCCUCACCUGCAGACACCUCGUGUUGGUUGUGAGGGAUCCAAACCCUGCUGAGCUGCUGAUCACGCUGCUCCUGGAGACUGUGGAGGCAAGUGGAUGGAGCUGUCCUCAGGUGGAUGCUUACCUCUGAAGAUGGGUGAGGUGGCUCCCACAGGAACUAUCGGGAGAGCUGCAGUAGGGAGCAUCAGGAGAGCCUCGUAUGCACCAGGAGGGACCCAGACUGUGUCCAUGUGCUCCAGUGGCCACUGAAACCAAGGGCAGCCCUUCUGAGGAUUCUGCUGUGUCCAGACCUCAGCUGAAGCCAUUUUGUGUGGCUCAACAACCAGGUGGACUGAGAGCAGCUCCCACGUGGUUGGCCUGAUGCACAUCACUCCAGAGGAGCUGUUCUGCCAUGGGUCACAGCCAGCAGAACCAACCAUGAGCCCAUGCCCUGUGGACAGCUGGACUGAGCCUGGCCUGGCACAGCUGCCUCCAUCCUGACCUGCCCAUCGUGGGUUUGUUACAGCUGCACCAGCUGUAGCUUUUGGUUAGCCUCAUCCAAAACUUCUUGUUGCAUCUUGACAACCCUCAUUAAAUUUGGAGCACCCUGGGGGCUCAGUGGAGAACCUGCCUGUGGGGAAUGCAGGGCUUGGACUGCAGGCAAGACACAGGCUGGGGUUGGUUACUGCUGCAGUUUGUGUCUGGGCAAAUAAUUGGCAUCAGCUUAAGAGACUGACGAGUGAAACUGCCUUCCAGGUGUGAUUCUUCAAGCUCACAAACACAGAAGCAAUUUUGAGUGGUUGCUGUUGAAAAUAGGCAUGAAGAGCUGCUCCUGUGGUGGAGCAAUUGCCACCUGGCUCAGGAUGUGAGGUGUCCCAUUGGAAUAGACCCCUCAGGAGUGGGCUGUGGAAGCCCAGGGCCUUGGCCAGUCAUGCCUGGCCCCUACGAGUACUGGAAGGAUGCAAAAAGGUCUCUCCGGAGCCUUCUCAGGCUGAACAACCACAGCUGUCUCAGCCUAUCUUCACUGGCAAGCUGACCCUUUCCUCUGAUCAUUUUUGGGUCCUUCUCUGGACCUCCUCCAUCAGGUCCAUGUCUUUCCUGUACUGACACCCCAGGGAUGAAUGCAACACUCCAGGUGGGGUCUCACAAGAGUGGGGUAGAGGGGGAGAAUCAUCUCCCUUGACCUGCUGGCUGUGCUGCCUUGGAUGCAGCCCAGGACACGAUUGGCCAUUAGAAGGAAAAGGCAGCAGGGUAGACUCAGACCCACUGGGAGCAUCUGUCCCUGUGCCCUGGGUCAGUCCUUGGUUGUAGCUGAGCUUGGCAGAGGUGGUGCCUGCUCCCUGUCUCUGCUGGACCCCUCCUCUGUGGUCUAGCACGGUGUCUGCCCUACAACACAGACAGCGGCUCGCAAGACCUUCAACCUUUUUCACUUUUCCUUUUUGGAUACCUUUGUGUCUCCCCUUGGACAGAGUCCCACCUUCAGUGGCUGUGGUUUGUGCUGUGUGCAGUUUUGGUUGGUGUCUCUGUUUGAAGGCUGGCCUGGGAUGGUCACAGUGCUGACAAGACUCUGCCCUGCAGGUGCUCCAGGCUGGGAUCCAUCAGUGAGGUCUGGUGAGAGUUUCUGUCGUGGCUAAUGGGGAUUAAUGGUCCAACUUCAAACCCCCUAAACGACAUAUACUCUGUAUCCCUCCCACACACACCCAGUGGCUGAAUCCAGGAUGUGAAAUGAUGCCUUUCAUUUCCUUGUGGCUCUGAGGAUUUCAUGCCCAGCAACAGGACAGGCUGACCAAGGCACUGAGUGAUUACACAGCUGCCUGUGAUGUUCAGGAGCAGCAGCUGGAGAUGCCCCUUCCCACAAUGUCCACGUGCUAGAGCUGAUUACAAACUGCAGGGAAAAGUGGCAGCAGGGCUGGAGAAAUGUGUCACAGAAAAUGUGCUGCUGUCACUGAAGCCUCCCCACGUGGGGAGUGUUGGUGUCAGUGGAGCUCCAGGGAGCCCAGCCCAGCACGGGAGUGGUGCUGUGGGCUCAGGGGAACCUGAGUUUUCCAGAGGGGCUUGAGUGUCCCCAGGCACUUGGAAAAGCACAACAGUGUGCAGUGCUGCUUGAGAAACCGGUGACAAGGGGACAGUUGGCCCUAAGGGAUUAACAGAGGGGAGGCCAAGGAGAAGCCUUGGUCAGAGAAGUCAGGACACCUUUCUGAUGAAGCCAGUUGGAGGAAGAGCACAGAGAGGGGGUUGUGGAAGGGGCAGAGCAGUGGAAAGCCCUGUUCUGCUGCUGGCUUGAGUGAUGGGAGUUUGUGCCUGCUGAGGUACAUUUUUGUAACAGAAAGGAAAACACACAAAACUGACAUUUCUUCCCUUCUUUGGACGGUAGGAAUGUUUUAAUUGAGAAAUUUGUUUUAAUUACAUUAGGUGAUAUCACAGUCUAUUUUACAAGUUGGGGGUAAAAGGAUGUGUGGACCAGUUACACAGAAAUCCAGCGAAAGGAUAAAAAUCUACAACAUGAGAAAAAUGAAAAGGUUAACUUAACCCCAAAAUAAAAGCAUCGAGAGUUUGGUGUGAGUGGAAAUGGGAGAUUAUACCAGGGUCCAGAGAAGUAGAAAGGAUGAGACUAACACAAAUUUACAGUAUUGUUCUGCAUGACCACCGUUUGCCUGUGUUCAGAGACAGCCUCUCUUCCUGAGGGCAUCGCUACGCAGAUGGCCCCGUCUCUGAGGAUUUGGUCUGGUCUUGUCAGAGAAGAAAGCAAAAGAACUGAUGGGCAAAGGUCACAACCCACGCUGAGCUGGUCCCCAGGGUCACUGCCUACAGGAGUGUCUUCCACUGGAUAGUCGGGGGGGUUCUGCACCAAGAACUG